AAUGAACGCUGGCGGCGUGCCUAAUACAUGCAAGUAGAACGCUGAAGGAGGAGCUUGCUCUUCUGGAUGAGUUGCGAACGGGUGAGUAACGCGUAGGUAACCUGCCUGGUAGCGGGGGAUAACUAUUGGAAACGAUAGCUAAUACCGCAUGACAACAGUUAUUGCAUGAUAACUGUUUAAAAGGGGCAACUGCUCCACUACCAGAUGGACCUGCGUUGUAUUAGCUAGUUGGUGAGGUAACGGCUCACCAAGGCGACGAUACAUAGCCGACCUGAGAGGGGGAUCGGCCACACUGGGACUGAGACACGGCCCAGACUCCUACGGGAGGCAGCAGUAGGGAAUCUUCGGCAAUGGACGGAAGUCUGACCGAGCAACGCCGCGUGAGUGAAGAAGGUUGUCGGAUCGUAAAGCUCUGUUGUAAGAGAAGAACGAGUGUGAGAGUGGAAAGUUCACACUGUGACGGUAGCUUACCAGAAAGGGACGGCUAACUACGUG
Molecule: ribosomal RNA, 495 nt
Filed under: uncultured bacterium
Lineage: Bacteria
Description: partial 16S ribosomal RNA
Rfam family: Bacterial small subunit ribosomal RNA
Source: RNAcentral